UUAGUUUGAUCCUGGUCAUAGCUGUUUCCUGACGGCAGGCCUAAUACAUGCAAGUCGAGGGGUAAGGUCUCUUUCGGGAGAUGCACGACCGGCGCACGGGUGCGUAACGCGUAUGCAACCUACCUUUAACAGAGGGAUAGCCCCGAGAAAUCGGGAUUAAUACCACAUAACACCACAUUGUUUCAUAACACGGUGGUUAAAGCUCCGGCGGUUAAAGAUGGGCAUGCGUGACAUUAGCUAGUUGGUGAGGUAACUGCUCACCAAGGCAACGAUGUCUAGGGGGUCUGAGAGGAUGAUCCCCCACACUGGUACUGAGACACGGACCAGACUCCUACGGGAGGCAGCAGUAAGGAAUAUUGCGCAAUGGAGGCAACUCUGACGCAGCCAUGCCGCGUGAAGGAAGAAGGCCUUAUGGGUCGUAAACUUCUUUUAUUUAGGAAUAACCCCCUGCUCGUGAGCAGGGCUGAAGGUACUAAACGAAUAAGCACCGGCUAACUCUGUGCCAGCAGCCGCGGUAAUACGGAGGGUGCAAGCGUUAUCCGGAUUUAUUGGGUUUAAAGGGUGCGCAGGCGGACCAAUAAGUCAGUGGUGAAAUCCCGGGGCUCAA
This 607-nucleotide ribosomal RNA is filed under the name uncultured bacterium. RNAcentral describes it as "bacterial SSU rRNA". It matches the Rfam family "Bacterial small subunit ribosomal RNA", at positions 1 to 612 of the family's 1533-position model. The record is from RNAcentral.